GAAAACUUUUGCGCUCGAAUUUUCCGCUGCCACAAAAGUAUUCGGAACUUGUUAACACCUCAUCGCCCUCGGAAUUGAAGUGAAACGCCUCCGUUCGGCACUGCAGGUCCGUGGCUAGCUGUGUGCGGGAGUUGACAAGUUGCAGUUCGCAUUUGAAUUGCAGCACCUGAUCACGGGGCGCCUCCACCGAGUAGCGGCAGGAAGUUCCCACCGGAUACCAGCCAGGAUAAUAGGGAGAGUUGAUGAGCAGCUUCUGUCCCGUUGACAGCGUCACCUGAUGAUUGCACUCCUCGAACAGCGCCACAACGGAGUGGAACAGCCACGGCAACAGCAACAGCAACAGUAGUCGCCACAUGAUCACGAUCGCGGCAACGUCCAAAGCGGCACUGAGCGAUGCCCCAACAGCCGCAGCCUCUUAAGAAUGCCGCAGACACACCACCUAUUGUGGUGCCCGUCACGCGAUCUACCUACAUCGUAACAGACCUGUCUCUCAACACCUAGACACCUCGACACCCACGCUCUGUUCCUGCUUUAAAUACGAGUUAAUUAUGGCCUUAAAGAAAUCUCAAACACUUCGUUUGCCGAAAAAGAAAAGAAACCCGCAAAGAAACACACGGCCGGCCGUGGCACACGAGGGGGUCUUUUGCGGCUAAUUGAAAGAAAGUGCAAGUGUGUCAAUCGGAAACCGGUUUCAAGUUUAUGGAACACCUCGAAUAUUGUAGCUGGAACGGUGGCAACCGUUUCUGGCUCCCGUUUGGGGUAGGUAGGGAUCUGAUCAUUCUGGCACGUAAUUUACUUGAAACUCGACUCUUCCCCUCAAAAAAAUGUGUUUAAGCCUUUGAUAAUUACUUUAUUUUCAUUGGCUCGUUAGAGCCAGCGCAUAAAAAUAAAAACCUUAGACACAGCCAUGCCAUGCCAUGGCAGCCGUAUUCCCCGGGAUCUCUUUUGGCCACCCACUUCUCACCCGCCCAUCCCCUGCUCAUUUUUUAGACCAUUUGCAGAGCUGCUUAAUUGGAUGUGCUGCAUGUGGGAGAAAGGACACACACGGCAACUACUCGUGGAAGCGACUAAAAAAAGGAGCCGCGCCACAGACAAGUUUGUCGCCCAUUUUGUAAAAUAAAUACGAGUCAGAGUCCGAGAGUAUAUAGAAAAAAGGAGGGAAGACGGAUGGCGCCGCGUUCUGUCAGAGGCGCAGAGACAAACGCUUAAUGCUAAUAUUAUUUUCUUGCUUAACAAGCGAUGAGCUACACGGUGGGGCACAGUCGCCAACGGGCAGGGGGGAUCGGUACGGUGGAGUCCGGACGCCAGCAUGUGACUUAUUUGCACAAACCAUAAAAAAUUUAACUUUAUUUCGCCAUUUUUAAUUUCCUACUCCGCGGAUCGCGACGUGGCUGGGCGCAUUCGGCGUAAACAGUCAACGUUGGACAAUAACUACAAAACCGGAGCCGGAGACCGACGCCAGAGCCAGAGCCCGAGCCCUAGAGUGGGCCCUAGACGUGGCAUGGGUAUCGCUCCCCUCCCACCAUGCAUAAGCCAGGAGAACAAUGCUGGACACCAGCAGAAAAAACAAAAAAUGCUUGGCCGGAGCUGCUGUUCCUGUUCCUGCUGCUCCUGCUGCUCCUGCUGUUGAUGCCGCUUUCCUUUCCAUCCUUUUUUUUCGUUUUGGCACAGAGCGAGCGGGAAAAACAAACAGCAAAUAAUUCAAAGUGGAUACAACUAAAGCAAAGUCAAAGCUAAUAUACGAAAAUGUAAUAAAAAUUAAAAAGAAAUAAAAGCGAAUUAAAAUGAAUUUCGAAGGAAAAGCAAAGAACCUUCUGGCGCAUAAAUGAAAAAACACUGGAGCAGCGAGCAGCCACAUGGCUCGGGAUUGGGACAUUGGAGGCGUGAGGCUGCAGCCCCAGCACCACAUAAAGCGACAGAUGUAGGACUUCCCCUCUGCGACCCCAGGGAUGACACAUGCGAGUGGACAAACGGUGGACCUACGAAGGGAAGGAGGACAGGAUGCCAUACAUACAUAGUAUCAUUUCUAUUUUAUUUAAUUAUAUCUGUCUACAAAACAUUUUUUGAAUUGUCAAUUCUGUGAUGAUAAAUUAUAGGUACAUAUCUACAUUUUCAAGUGCAAUUUCAUUUCGAAUUCUUCCGUUAAUCAUAUUUUUGGCACAUUGUUCUGUAAGCCUUAAUUUUAUGAACUGAAACUUACUUGGAAUAUAUUCUGACAGGUGCGCCAUCUACAUUGCAAUCCAAGAGACGAGGAACUUUUACUUGUGAAUCAGAUGGAGCCAGUAGGACGUACAUCAAAUAUAACUAAUCUUCUGCGUCAAGCCGAUGUACAACUCACAGCGUCCGCGUCGUGGCCAUGUGGCCAUGGCGAUGUGUGCGGGUUGAAUGGUUGGGACGAAUGCCUGACUACGUGGAACAAAAACAGAAGCGUCGCAAGAACUAUGCGCUCGUACCAGAUUGAGCUAUUGGCCAUUGUUCAUACCCUGCAUGGAUAGAAUUUGGCCAAUGAAGAGUCUGGCAACAACGUGAAGAAAGAUCGCCUCCUGCAUCCCCUGGACAUCUAUGCCCAUUGACUGAGCAAGUUCUACAAGGGUGGCGUCGUUGCACAGAGCAAGACGGCCGGCCUGUUCGAGACCCUCAGAGAUGCCACCGACGAGCAGGUUUGCUAUACUUAGUUGGCUCUGCUGGUUGACAACGAUUGCUUAGACUGCCUACAGCAGCGGAGCGGAACUGCCAGAUGAUCCUCAACUGCACCAUGCUAGCAUCGGCUUAGACAGACAGACCACGCACUCGCAAAGAUCCUGUGGAAAUAACUGAUGGAGCUGGAUGAGCUGGCCUUGACUUAUGGAUCCCAAUAAAUGGAACUCUACCCUUUGACGACAACGAGGAACUGUAGUCCAUUUGCAGAUUGGGCUCCACUGUGCAAGCGACUUGGUUGCAGGCGGCAGGUUAAGAUUAAGAUUAAGAUAGAUCAUAUGUAUAAUCAUAUGUAAAUACUAAUAAGUUUUACCAAUAAAAAUUGUAGCAUACUUUUA
This is a long non-coding RNA of Drosophila guanche, 3035 nucleotides long. RefSeq lists it as uncharacterized. The record is from RefSeq and is a predicted model, not a curated record. Lineage: Eukaryota; Metazoa; Arthropoda; Insecta; Diptera; Drosophilidae. The transcript has 4 exons.